AGUGCCUCCAAAACCAUUACAUCUGCAGAAUUCAUCUUCAUCCUUUAGACCCCAAGUCCCCAGGCAUAAAGCUUUACCUAGCGCAAAGCCAAGGAUGGAGGAGUCUAAUCCAGCCCCUACUUCAUGUGCCUCAAAAGGGAAACAUAGUAAGGUGUCGGAUCUCAUCAGUCACUUUGAAGGAGGCAGGAGACUAAUGAGCAGAAACUUCACAAAAUAGCCACAGAACUUUUGCUUACAGAAAGAGCUUAUGUCAGCCGGCUCAACCUCCUAGAUCAGGUAUUUUAUUGCAAACUAUUAGAAGAAGCAAACCGAGGCUCAUUUCCUGCAGAGAUGGUGAAUAAAAUCUUUUCUAACAUUUCAUCAAUAAAUGCCUUCCAUAGUAAAUUCCUAUUACCUGAGCUGGAGAAGCGAAUGCAAGAAUGGGAAACUACACCCAGAAUUGGAGAUAUCCUGCAAAAGUUGGCACCAUUCCUUAAGAUGUAUGGAGAAUACGUAAAGGGAUUUGAUA
Molecule: long non-coding RNA, 508 nt
Filed under: Rattus norvegicus (Norway rat)
Lineage: Eukaryota; Metazoa; Chordata; Mammalia; Rodentia; Muridae
Description: long non-coding RNA NONRATT006767
Source: RNAcentral